GUGAAUCAUCGAAUCUUUGAACGCAAAUUGCACCCUCCCCGGAGAGUAUGCCUGUUUGUGGGUCAGCCUAUAAAAAAUCGACAUCGUUGCUGUUUCGCGGUGGCGUUCGUCUGAAAUUGGGACAUCUUAAAUCCUUUUGAUUUCCGCGACUUAGAAUUUUCUUUUGGUUCCGUGAACGUUUCUAAGAUCUUUUUCUUUACACGUUUACGGUAUC
Molecule: unclassified non-coding RNA, 214 nt
Filed under: Glomeraceae sp.
Lineage: Eukaryota; Fungi; Glomeromycota; Glomeromycetes; Glomerales; Glomeraceae
Description: partial contains 5.8S ribosomal RNA and internal transcribed spacer 2
Rfam family: 5.8S ribosomal RNA (bases 1-65)
Source: RNAcentral